Molecule: long non-coding RNA, 352 nt
Organism: Brassica oleracea var. oleracea
Lineage: Eukaryota; Viridiplantae; Streptophyta; Magnoliopsida; Brassicales; Brassicaceae
Exons: 2
Source: RefSeq, a predicted model, not a curated record
UGGCUCGCCGCAUUUCCCUUGCUCUUCUUUGAGUAUCUGCAGGUUUAUGGGUGAAGCUUACCUUUACGGUUUGAGUUUUCGCCAGAGGAGCUAGGGAUCAUUGACGACGUGUCUGAUCGGAGGAGAGUGUUUUGUCUGUGGCGUUUGUUCCAUUCAGUUGCUGUUGGAUCGUCUGUUUUCCUUUUUCCCAUGAUGAACAGUUGUGAUUUUGGUGUAAAAACUCUGUGCGUGUUAGUCCUAAAGACGGGGUGUAGGAAUUCUGAUGAACAGUCGUGGUCUUGUUGGUCUGAUUACGUAACGUAUAUUUGUUGUGGAGACAUUUACAUAAUGAACCCCAUUUAUUUUCACUAUA